UACAGAGGUGGCAAGCGUUGUUCGGAAUUACUGGGCGUAAAGGGCGCGUAGGCGGCCUUCUAAGUCGGACGUGAAAGCCCCAGGCUUAACCUGGGAACUGCGUCCGAUACUGGGAGGCUUGGAUUCGGGAGAGGGAUGUGGAAUUCCAGGUGUAGCGGUGAAAUGCGCAGAUAUCAGGAGGAACACCGGUGGCGAAGGCGGGUCUCUGGGCCGAUACUGACGCUGAGGAGCGAAAGCGUGGGGAGCGAACAGG
RNAcentral lists this ribosomal RNA (253 nucleotides) under uncultured bacterium. RNAcentral describes it as "partial 16S ribosomal RNA". It matches the Rfam family "Bacterial small subunit ribosomal RNA", at positions 524 to 776 of the family's 1533-position model. The record is from RNAcentral.